Molecule: long non-coding RNA, 798 nt
Organism: Armigeres subalbatus
Lineage: Eukaryota; Metazoa; Arthropoda; Insecta; Diptera; Culicidae
Exons: 2
Source: RefSeq, a predicted model, not a curated record
UUAUUAUUCUUUUAUAUUAUCGAUUUUUUAAUAAACUUAAAAUUUUUAAUUUCUUUUAUUUGAGUAUUUCGUAGUUUCCGUUGAGUGUGUAUGCUGGCGAUUUGACAUGUUUUCUUCCGCACCAAAACAUGAAACAAGUUUCGGAAAGAGACAGUGUUUGUAAAAGUGUUUUCUGUUGCGGUAAUGUUGGAAGCCGCUGGCCAAACGGUUGAAGGGCAGAUCAGGUCAGCUGACUUCUGAUUCCCACUUGGACAUCCGCAACAAUCAUUUUCCUUGAUGGUGUUCGACGUGUAUUUCCGGCAGCACCGCAUAGUGUCAACAUCCUGAAUCGCAAUAUAUGCUCCGGUGUUAGAUUCAACUUAGUUGGUUGAGCUGGUUGGACCACGAGAAACCGCCAGAGUAUGGAUCACCAGAAACCGACAGUACAGUGAAAUGAAUUCUUGCUUCAGAGCCACCAAGCGUCGUGACGAGGAGGGCGAAGAGGGUUUGUCACUACGAAUGAAAAAUGCCAAUCGUGUGCUCCAGGAAGAACAAGUGCAAGAGUUUCUUUUUAUGUAGAAUAAGUUAAUCUUAAUUUAUUUUGAAAUGAAACCUUCGAAUAUUUAAGGUAAAUGGUGAAAAAAAAAAUUUUACUAGUUCAGUUUAUUUUUUAAGAAAUGUAGUGAUUGUUUCCAAUUACAAAUUGUAAUGAUGUUUGGUAAGGAUGGCAGUAUUUUUUGCAUCUAACAAAAACUGUGAUUUUUUCUCUGUUAGAAAAAUUAAUUGUAAAACAUUAAAUUGUAUUGUAUUUCCAUUGUA